This 556-nucleotide ribosomal RNA is filed under the name Rhodotorula taiwanensis. Its description in RNAcentral is "LSU rRNA". It matches the Rfam family "Eukaryotic large subunit ribosomal RNA", at positions 92 to 664 of the family's 3401-position model. Lineage: Eukaryota; Fungi; Basidiomycota; Microbotryomycetes; Sporidiobolales; Sporidiobolaceae. The record is from RNAcentral.
AGCGAAGCGGGAAGAGCUCAAAUUUAUAAUCUGGCACCUUCGGUGUCCGAGUUGUAAUCUCUAGAAGUGUUUUCCGCGUUGGACCGCACACAAGUCUGUUGGAAUACAGCGGCAUAGUGGUGAGACCCCCGUAUAUGGUGCGGACGCCCAACGCUUUGUGAUACACUUUCGAAGAGUCGAGUUGUUUGGGAAUGCAGCUCAAAUUGGGUGGUAAAUUCCAUCUAAAGCUAAAUAUUGGCGAGAGACCGAUAGCGAACAAGUACCGUGAGGGAAAGAUGAAAAGCACUUUGGAAAGAGAGUUAACAGUACGUGAAAUUGUUGGAAGGGAAACGCUUGAAGUCAGACUUGCUUGCCGAGCAAUCGGUUUGCAGGCCAGCAUCAGUUUUCCGGGGUGGAUAAUGGUAGAGAGAAGGUAGCAGUUUCGGCUGUGUUAUAGCUCUUUGCUGGAUACACCUUGGGGGACUGAGGAACGCAGUGUGCCUUACGGCGGAUUUCUCGAGAUCUUCACACUUAGGAUGCUGGUGGAAUGGCUUUAAACGACCCGUCUUGAAAACGG